UACAGUAUGGCAUAGUGGUUUGAGUGUUGGACUACAACUCUAGAGACCAGGGUUCGAUUCCCAGGUCAGCCA
RNAcentral lists this transfer RNA (72 nucleotides) under Phrynosoma platyrhinos (Desert horned lizard). Its description in RNAcentral is "tRNA-OTHER". The record is from RNAcentral. Lineage: Eukaryota; Metazoa; Chordata; Lepidosauria; Squamata; Phrynosomatidae.